GUUCCCGUGGUGUAGUGGUUAUCACAUGCGCUUCACACGCGCAAGGUCCCCAGUUCAAUCCUGGGCGGGAACU
RNAcentral lists this transfer RNA (73 nucleotides) under Dendronephthya gigantea. RNAcentral's name for it is "tRNA-Val". Lineage: Eukaryota; Metazoa; Cnidaria; Anthozoa; Malacalcyonacea; Nephtheidae. The record is from RNAcentral.